AUUGAACGCUGGCGGCAGGCUUAACACAUGCAAGUCGAACGAGUGGCGGACGGGUGAGUAAUGCUUGGGAAUCUAGAUUAUGGAGGGGGAUAACUACGGGAAACUGUAGCUCAAACCGCGUACCAUAGGCUGAGCCCACUGGGGAUUAGGUAGUUGGUGAGGGAAAGGCGACCCAAGCCGACGAUCUCUAGCUGGUCUGAGAGGAUGACCAGCCACACUGGGACUGGGCCACAGCCCAGACUCCUACGUGAGGCAGCAGUGGGGAAUAUUGCGCAAUUGGGGCAACCUGACGCAGCCAUGCCGCGUGACUGAAGAAGGCCUUCGGGUUGUAAAGUUCUUUCGGUAGCGAGGCGUUAACUACAGAAGAAGCACCGGCUAACGCCGUGCCAGCAGCCGCGGUAAUUC
Molecule: ribosomal RNA, 405 nt
Filed under: uncultured bacterium
Lineage: Bacteria
Description: partial 16S ribosomal RNA
Rfam family: Bacterial small subunit ribosomal RNA
Source: RNAcentral